CCCUUAGAUGUUCUGGGCCGCACGCGCGCUACACUGACCGGUGCAAAGAGUUGUUUGUCCUUUGCUGCGAGAGGCAUGGGGAAUCUUUGAACGCCGGUCGUGCUGGGGAUAGAUUCUUGGAAUUAAAAUCUUCAACGAGGAAUUCCUAGUAAACGCAAGUCAUCAACUUGCAUUGAUUACGUCCCUGCCCUUUGUACACACCGCCCGUCGCACCUACCGAUUGAAUGUUCCGGUGAAACUUUCGGAUUGCGGCGUUGUGCCUUUACGGGCUCACGCUGUGAGAAGUUAUUUAAACCUUAGCAUUUAGAGGAAGGUAAAGUCGUAACA
Molecule: ribosomal RNA, 327 nt
Filed under: uncultured eukaryote
Lineage: Eukaryota
Description: partial 18S ribosomal RNA
Rfam family: Eukaryotic small subunit ribosomal RNA
Source: RNAcentral